Molecule: non-coding RNA, 951 nt
Filed under: Hippotragus leucophaeus (blue antelope)
Lineage: Eukaryota; Metazoa; Chordata; Mammalia; Artiodactyla; Bovidae
Description: 12S ribosomal RNA
Rfam family: Bacterial small subunit ribosomal RNA
Source: RNAcentral
UAUAGGUUUGGUCCCAGCCUUCCUGUUAACUUUCAAUAGACUUACACAUGCAAGCAUCUACGCCCCGGUGAGAAUGCCCCCUAAGUCAACCAGACUAUGAGGAGCGGGUAUCAAGCACACUAUUCGUAGCUCAUGACGCCUUGCUUAACCACACCCCCACGGGAGACAGCAGUGACAAAAAUUAAGCCAUGAACGAAAGUUUGACUAAGCCAUAUUGACUAGGGUUGGUAAAUCUCGUGCCAGCCACCGCGGUCAUACGAUUAACCCAAGCUAACAGGAACACGGCGUAAAACGUGUUAAAGCACUACAUUAAAUAGAGUUAAAUCUUAAUUAAACUGUAAAAAGCCGUAAUUAUAAUAAAAUAAAUGACGAAAGUAACUCUACAACAGCUGACACACUAUAGCUAAGACCCAAACUGGGAUUAGAUACCCCACUAUGCUUAGCCCUAAACACAAAUAAUUACAAAACAAAAUUAUUCGCCAGAGUACUACCGGCAACAGCCUAAAACUCAAAGGACUUGGCGGUGCUUUAUACCCUUCUAGAGGAGCCUGUUCUAUAAUCGAUAAACCCCGAUAAACCUCACCAUUCCUUGCUAAUACAGUCUAUAUACCGCCAUCUUCAGCAAACCCUAAAAAGGAAUAAAAGUAAGCAUAAUCAUUACACAUAAAAACGUUAGGUCAAGGUGUAACUUAUGGAAUGGGAAGAAAUGGGCUACAUUUUCUACUUCAAGAAAACCCACACGAAAGUUAUUAUGAAACUAAUAACCAAAGGAGGAUUUAGCAGUAAGCUAAGAAUAGAGUGCUUAGCUGAACCAGGCCAUGAAGCACGCACACACCGCCCGUCACCCUCCUCAAGUAAUUACACGCACCUAAACUUAUUACACGCACCAACAAUAUGAGAGGAGACAAGUCGUAACAAGGUAAGCAUACUGGAAAGUGUGCUUGGACAAAC